AUGGCCUUUAAACAUAACAUCCAUGACGAGUGGCUUGCCCGACAUCUCGGCCAAGAGAAGCCAAAAUCCAUGGCAGCCCUCAAGACACUCAUGACCCGCUUUUGCACGGGCGAGGAUAGCUGGUUGGCCUAUACCAACAACACAACAAGCAAUCCUGGCACAUCAAAGGCCAGAGAUGGCAACAGCAAACCCCGACGCAACAAACACAAGCGUCGCAAAAAUGGUGGUAACGCCGAAGAUACGACAGUCAAUGCCGGAUUUAGUGGCUCUAUGUCCGGCCAACGGAAAAGGCCAUUCAAAAAUGACAAUUCGGGCCCGUCUAGUCUGGACCACAUACUCAACCGUCCAUGCCAAAUUCAUGGCACCCAAGAACACCAGCCAAUCAUACCAACAGAGAAUGCUGGGUCUUCAAACAAGCCGGCAGGUCAGGUGCCGAAAACAAGGAGAAGGGUCUCAAAGCGAUGA
RNAcentral lists this ribosomal RNA (465 nucleotides) under Triticum aestivum (bread wheat). Its description in RNAcentral is "partial small subunit ribosomal RNA". The record is from RNAcentral. Lineage: Eukaryota; Viridiplantae; Streptophyta; Magnoliopsida; Poales; Poaceae.